ACGGAGGAUCCGAGCGUUAUCCGGAUUUAUUGGGUUUAAAGGGAGCGUAGGUGGACAGUUAAGUCAGUUGUGAAAGUUUGCGGCUCAACCGUAAAAUUGCAGUUGAUACUGUCUGUCUUGAGUACAGUAGAGGUGGGCGGAAUUCGUGGUGUAGCGGUGAAAUGCUUAGAUAUCACGAAGAACUCCGAUUGCGAAGGCAGCUCACUGGACUGCAACUGACACUGAUGCUCGAAAGUGUGGGUAUCAAACAG
This 251-nucleotide ribosomal RNA is filed under the name uncultured bacterium. Its description in RNAcentral is "partial 16S ribosomal RNA". It matches the Rfam family "Bacterial small subunit ribosomal RNA", at positions 525 to 775 of the family's 1533-position model. The record is from RNAcentral.